This 472-nucleotide ribosomal RNA is filed under the name uncultured bacterium. Its description in RNAcentral is "bacterial SSU rRNA". It matches the Rfam family "Bacterial small subunit ribosomal RNA", at positions 355 to 825 of the family's 1533-position model. The record is from RNAcentral.
UGGGGAAUAUUGGACAAUGGGGGAACCCUGAUCCAGCAAUGCCGCGUGUGUGAAGAAGGCCUGAGGGUUGUAAAGCACUUUUCAGAGGGGAGGAGGACUAUUAGGUUAAGAGCUAGAUAGUUGGACGUUACCCUCAGAAUAAGCACCGGCUAACUCUGUGCCAGCAGCCGCGGUAAUACAGAGGGUGCAAGCGUUGUCCGGAUUUAUUGGGUUUAAAGGGUGCGUAGGCGGUUUGUUAAGUUGGAUGUGAAAUCCCCGGGCUCAACCUGGGAACUGCAUUCAAAACUGACUGACUAGAGUAUGGUAGAGGGUGGUGGAAUUUCCUGUGUAGCGGUGAAAUGCGUAGAUAUAGGAAGGAACACCAGUGGCGAAGGCGACCACCUGGACUAAUACUGACACUGAGGUGCGAAAGCGUGGGGAGCAAACAGGAUUAGAUACCCCUGUAGUCCCUGAGCGGGCUGGCAAGGCGCAU